GGGAGCAUUCCAAGGGCAAGGGAUCCAAGAUUCCCAGGCAGAAGCUACAAGGCAUAUUCUGACCUGUCCUCAGAAGUCCCAGAGUGUCGCUUCUACCGCAUUCUCUUGGACAAAGCAAGUCAAGUAUUUCACUUGAAAUUUUAUAAAACUUAGGAAGCAAAUAAGAAAGCAUGCAAAAUCACUUUAAAUAAUUGUCAUAGAGCUGUUUGGCUCAGAUUGGUGUGCAUUACUGUGUGUAUAUAUCUUAUCUCUAGAAUUAAAAAAAAUUAAAAGAUAGUUGCAACAAUUUUUUUCUUACAGGUAGUUUUUCCUGAAUUUUUAAAUUUUUAAAAAUUAAACAAAAACUUUUUUGCAGAAUAUUGCUUCCUUUCAUCUUCUCCGGAGCUAUCAUGGUGGCUGAGCCAGGUCUCAGGGAAGCUUUGGGAUAGGGGAGCUGAUGUCAAGCAGCCUGUUGCCUCCCUGCCUCUUUAUGGAGCCUGACUCCCCUCCCUGUAGCCAGUUCACAUGUUCCUUCAUCAACAAAGGCUUCAAGAAUGGCCACUGGUGUGUUCCAGUUUAAAAGAAAGCAUUGGAACAGUAGCCAUCAAGAUAUAACACUGUCAUGCCAGAGAAUAAUUCCAGUGAUAUGACCAUUCGGCCCAAAAAAAGAAAGUCUGAGAAGUCAUCAAGACAAUGUCACAGCUGCAGGGGACCCCACUUGCUCUGUCCACCUCGGGAAGAAGAUGAAGUGGGCGCUGGCAUACGCCAUGGAGAGGGUGGCGGAGCCUGCUGCUGGAGCAGUUUUCACUGUGACGGACUCCCCGAGACUCUGGAUGUCCCGCCUUCUCACCUGUGACACCGAUGCGAUCAUGCCUUUGGAUUUACCCUUCCGACUCAACUGGCGCCUUUCACUGUGUCUGCUACAGACUCACCUUCAGGCUUUGCACCAUAUUCCAGUUGCAUGUUUCUGCGGUCCUGAGAGAUUAAAAAUGAUGUGUUCUUGGCACAGCUGGCACUCACACCAAAGGGAGAGAAACAGCAAGCCACACCCAAAAGAGGAAAAGAACCAGAACGAAAAUUCCACAAAAAAGAAGCUCAGAGCAAAGAAUGAGAUUAUUUUUCCUGCCCAUAAUAAUGGAGUUCGAAUGGGGCUUUCCCAGCACAGAGAAUAAUAGCCCUUUCUUUUUCACAUGUGGUUGUCCGCAGCUGUAAUUCAUUUCACUAGCGUUCUAAUAAGGUGAGAUAGCUCAGUAAUGAAUUUUAGUCAUAACCUUCAUUGAUAAUACAGUUUAAAAACUUACAUCUGGAUAAUUUACACACACAUACAUUCUCCAAAAGAAAUAGAUAUAGACACUGUUUUGAUAAAACACUUUACUUUCCUUAGUAUUGUGGCCCCUGAAUCUGAUGAUAUGUGCUUUGAAUGUGAAUAUAUUUCUUUUAUAAAUGAUUAUUCAUCUUUUCCCAUUUCAUCAGGAGCUCCGUGGCAUUAAUUCUCUCCUACUAAAAAAAGAAACCACUUUUAAAGUUAGGUUAAGAGCAUUGUUUCCCCUUCUUUUAAUACUUCUUAAUAACUGACAUAAAAGUAGCUUAUGUCCGACUUCUAGAAGAAUCCAUGAGAGCCAAGGAAGACAUGAAAGGGUGUUGUCAUUUAAAAAAAAUUCUCUAUUUUCUGAAGUCAUCUAUAUACAUGAUUUUGUUUCCUUUAGAGUAGAGAAAUGUGAAUUUAUGACGAAAUCUAAGGCCUAGAGGAAAGGUAAUGACAAAUUAAAAGGAAAAACAAGUUAUUCAAAAAAGUAAACAGAGCAAACGAUGGUAAAUUUAGAAGUGAGGUCAAAAGAGGAGAAUCUGAAACAUCUCUUGAUAAUAGUCCUUUAAUUUCCGAAUUUAGUAUGUUUAAAUUUUUCAAAUGUGCUUUCUGAAUUUUCAUUGAUAGGUUGAAGGGAAAAGGACCAGAAAUGUCAGCAAAUCAUUCUUGUGACAUAAUUUUUAUCAUUCUUUUUGAGUAAGGCAAGAUUUUUCUUUCACCUUCACAACACUGCCAAAUACAUUUUAUUUAGAUUUUCUCAAGCAGGAGUUUAGACUGAUGUUUGUGUGACUGAAGCCUGGAACAGCAUCAUCACGGAGGUUACAAGAGUGUUAAUUGCAUCUAUUAACCCUAACUGCCUUUCAGGCAUUAUUUUUUUAAUUCUUCUGAAAAAUUCUAUAAGGCACAUACUUUGCAAAUAAGAAUGGUGAGUCUUAAACAAUGCUAAAAGUGGAACUAGAGAUGGAAGCAGAGGUCUGCCUGUCUCUAAACCCAAAGUACCAAAUAACUCCCAUGUUGAAGUCAACAAGCCGAUAGAGACAGAAGGAUGGAGGAAAGGAUGGAAGAAAUAUGCUUUAAAAUAAGGCUCUUUCUCAGAGGUGUUAGUGAAUAGGCUUGGGAGUUAACAUUGGAAGUAGUUGUUAGUGUGGCAAUCAAAGUAAAACUUGGGUUUGGAUUUAACUUAAGGCUGGCAUUAGAAUUAGGAUUUUCUUGAAGGUUUGGGGUAGGGAUUGCUUCUACAUUUGUGAUGAAAAUAGAGGUUCAGAGUGGAGUUUGCAUUAAGUACUAGGGAGGGUUUGGAACAAGGAGGUUGUAUUAGUCCAUUCGCACACUGCUGAUAAAGACAUACCUGAGAAUGGGUAAUUUAUAGAGAAAGAGAGGUUUAAUGGACUCACCGUUCCGUGUGGCUGGGGAGGCCUCACAAUCAUGGCAGAAGGCAUGUCUUACAUGGCAGCAGGCAAGAGAGAAAAUGAGAACCAAGAGGAAGGGGUUUCCCCUUAUAAAAUCAUCAGAUCUGUAAGACUUAUUCACUACCAUGAGAACAGUAUGGGGGAAACCGCCCCCAUGAUUCUGUUACCUCUCACUGGGUCCUCCCACAACAUGUGGGAAAUAUGGGAGAGAUUUGGGUGAGGACACAGCCAAACCAUAUCAUCAAUAUCAACUAAACUUUCCUGAUGAUAAGAAGUACGUGGGCAGUUGCCAAAAACCACAAAUUCCUGGUGCUUAUACCAUUCACAGUUGUGCUAAGUUGAGUCUGAUCAUCAGGAAAGCAGGGGCUGCUGGGCAUUGCUCACAACCUUGUCUUAUCAUGAGAAUCAUCUGAAGAGCUCUUGAUAAAUACUGAUGCUUGAGCCCACCCCUCAGUUAAAUCAGAAUCUGACAAGGGCCGUUAUUAUGUUUAAAAAAUUCUCCAGGUGAUUCCAAGGGGAUGCAAGAGGUGAAAUCCCAGAGAAAUGGUUAGACAUGAAAAGAGAUAUUUCUUUCUUUUUUUUUUUUUUUUUUUGAGACAGAGUCUCACUCUGUCACCCUGGCUGGAGUGCAGUGGCACAAUCUCGGCCCACUGCAACCUCUACCUCCUGGGUUUAAGCGAUUCUCCUGCCUCAGUCUCCCAAGUAGCUGGGAUUACAGGCACCUGCCACCAUGCCUGCCUAAGUUUUUGUAUUUUUAGUAGAGACAGCAUUUCACCGUGUUAGCCAGGAUGGUCUCCAUCUCCCUACCUCAUGAUCUACCCACCUCGGCCUCCCAAAGUGCUGUGAUUACAGGCAGAAGCUACUGCACCUGGCCAGA
Molecule: long non-coding RNA, 3571 nt
Filed under: Aotus nancymaae (Ma's night monkey)
Lineage: Eukaryota; Metazoa; Chordata; Mammalia; Primates; Aotidae
Description: lncRNA (ENSANAG00000039380.1)
Source: RNAcentral